Molecule: long non-coding RNA, 901 nt
Organism: Diabrotica virgifera virgifera (western corn rootworm)
Lineage: Eukaryota; Metazoa; Arthropoda; Insecta; Coleoptera; Chrysomelidae
Exons: 3
Source: RefSeq, a predicted model, not a curated record
UUACAAGUGAUUAAGAUUAUUUUAUUUACAUGUAAAUUGAAACAAUAAAUAUUGUGCUUUGUCAUAAUUUAAAACUCAUUAUGUUGAAGUCUUUUCCAGUUGAUAAAAUUGCAAUUCAAAAACUUUUAGGUAGAUUUGUACUGUAUGGAUGGCACAGGAAGAGAACAGAGAACAAGAGUACAAGAACAUGAAACAUCUUAUUAUGAAUGUAUAUGUAUGUGAUCCUCAAAAAAUUAUUUUUCAAAACAAGAUAGAGAAUGAGCUUUAAAAUCCCAAGGAUCCUGCAAAAUGUCUAUUUGGUGUACUAGUCGAAUAAUAGUAUCUAAAAAUAAUGAAACUGUUUUAAAACACAUUAUGGGCAUGAGGAUGAUAUAGAGCACUUACAUAAAUACCAAAAUCAGAUAAAUAUCUCUUCAAAGUUUAUUUUGAGACUUUCUUCAAAAAUUAAACUUCAGACUGUCCAGGAUAGCAUAAUAGCAUAGGAGGCAAAUUAAAAAGAAUUAAUUUACUUACAAGAAGAGAUAUCACAAACAUUAAACUCUCUUAUGGCAUUGAUUUGAAAGAUGGGUAUAUGUACAAUGAUGAUGCAACCAGUGUUUAUUUUUGGGUUGAAUGCUUACAGAUUAUUUAUUUUUUCCAAUAUUAUUUUACAAACAACAGGGCAUACUAAUGGAUAUUCAUUCUGAAUUUAACAUUUAUGAUUUUUGUCUUAUUUUCCUUAAUACUGUGCCAAAAGGAAAUGUUAAUUAAGUUUGGCAAAUCCUUUAUCGCAAUCGAUGGAACUCAUGGGCUCAAUUCCUAUGACUUUGAACUUAUGACAGUAUUAGUAAAAGAUGAAUUUGGGAAUGGAUUUUGUACUGCUUUCUUAUUUUCAAAUAGAAAAGAUACCUACUUUAAUUUA